This 937-nucleotide ribosomal RNA is filed under the name uncultured organism. Its description in RNAcentral is "bacterial SSU rRNA". It matches the Rfam family "Bacterial small subunit ribosomal RNA", at positions 37 to 1020 of the family's 1533-position model. The record is from RNAcentral.
UGGCGGUCUGCUUACACAUGCAAGUCGAACGCAACUUCGGGUUGAGUGGCGGACGGGUGAGUAACGCGUGAGAAUCUGCCUUGGGGUCGGGGACAACCACUGGAAACGGUGGCUAAUACCGGAUAAGCCUUUGGGUAAAAAAUUUAUUGCCCCAAGAGGAGCUCGCGUCUGAUUAGCUAGUUGGUGAGGUAAAAGCUCACCAAGGCAGCGAUCAGUAGCUGGUCUGAGAGGACGAUCAGCCACACUGGGACUGAGACACGGCCCAGACUCCUACGGGAGGCAGCAGUGGGGAAUUUUCCGCAAUGGGCGAAAGCCUGACGGAGCAAGACCGCGUGAGGGAGGAAGGCUCUUGGGUUGUAAACCUCUUUUCUCAGGGAAGAAGCUCUGACGGUACCUGAGGAAUCAGCCUCGGCUAACUCCGUGCCAGCAGCCGCGGUAAUACGGAGGAGGCAAGCGUUAUCCGGAAUUAUUGGGCGUAAAGCGUCCGCAGGUGGCGAUUCAAGUCUGCUGUCAAAGCACGGGGCUUAACUCCGUUAAGGCAGUGGAAACUGAAUAGCUAGAGUGCCGUAGGGGUAGAGGGAAUUCCCGGUGUAGCGGUGAAAUGCGUAGAGAUCGGGAAGAACAUCGGUGGCGAAAGCGCUCUACUGGACGGCAACUGACACUCAGGGACGAAAGCUAGGGGAGCGAAUGGGAUUAGAUACCCCAGUAGUCCUAGCUGUAAACGAUGGAUACUAGGUGUAGCUUGUAUCGACCCGAGCUGUGCCGAAGCUAACGCGUUAAGUAUCCCGCCUGGGGAGUACGCACGCAAGUGUGAAACUCAAAGGAAUUGACGGGGGCCCGCACAAGCGGUGGAGUAUGUGGUUUAAUUCGAUGCAACGCGAAGAACCUUACCACGUCUUGACAUGUCCGGAAUCCCGGUGAAAGCUGGGAGUGCCUU